This 20-nucleotide non-coding RNA is filed under the name Arabidopsis thaliana (thale cress). Lineage: Eukaryota; Viridiplantae; Streptophyta; Magnoliopsida; Brassicales; Brassicaceae. The record is from RNAcentral.
GCGGUGUGGUUCAAAUAGUA